CAAUCGCGUAUAUUAAAGUUGUUGCGGUUAAAAAGCUCGUGGUUGGAUUUCUGCCGAGGACGACCGGUCCGCCCUCUGGGUGAGUAUCUGGCUCGACCUGGGCAUCCUUCCAGAGAAUGUGUCUGCUCUUGACUGAGUGGUGCAGUAUCUGGAACUUUUACGUUGAGGAAAUUAGAGUGUUUCAAGCAGGCAUACGCCCUGAAUACAUUCGCAUGGAAUAAUAAGAUAGGACCUCGGUUCUAUGUUGUUGUUUUGGGAGCUGAGGUAAUGAUUAAUAGGGAUAGUUGGGGGCAUUUAUAUUUAACUGUCAGAGGUGAAAUUCUUGGAUUCGUUAAAGACGGACUACUGCAAAAGCAUUUGCCAAGGAUGUUUUCAUUGAUCAAGAACGAAGGUCAGGGAUCGAAGACGAUUAGAUACCAU
RNAcentral lists this ribosomal RNA (420 nucleotides) under uncultured eukaryote. Its description in RNAcentral is "SSU rRNA". It matches the Rfam family "Eukaryotic small subunit ribosomal RNA", at positions 592 to 1018 of the family's 1831-position model. The record is from RNAcentral.